UUCGACGCUGUUUUCCAGCCUCGCCGUGACGUCACGCUGCGUAUCCCGAGCGCUCCCCGGAACGCGUGGUCCCGAUCGCGAGCACGUGGAAGUGAGGUCGAGAUGUUUCCGUGAGACGCGCGACUGAUCAUCAGGGAUGUUGUGGGGGGGGGGAGGACCAAAAGGAAUAGAAACGAGAGAAAACCCACCACGAAAAGCUGGAACCGAAGAGAGCUUCAGCCGCUGUUACUUUUUGAUGAAUCAGAUCUAUCUGCAGCACGAGAACCGAGGAGCUGACGUCGUGGGAAAAUGUCAACGCUCAUAUUCUGGGCAGUGCAGUUGCAGACCCCCCCCCCCCCGUGCAGUCCCGUGUUUUACGGCCGCCGCCGCACUUACGACCAGCAGAGAUACCGAUCAGAAUGGGAAGGAUGCGACGCUGAAUGCAGUCGGCGUUGGAUUCAGUUUCACCGAGUCCUAAAACACACACACAAACACACAAACACCGCAUGGGUUUUAAUACUAUCUACUUCCUCCUUUCUUCGAGGGGACACAUACACCCUGAAUGGGCCCCUGUGGUGAUCUGCGUUGUGGUCGAGAGUGUUACAACUGCCACGCUGGUCUGCUUAAAGGGGCCGUGCUGCUGAUCCUCUUUCAGGGGGUCCGUACGUCGCCGCAGCGUUUCAGGCUUCUGCACGGCUGCAUGUUUCCGCCUGUUGUCAGUGAGCGAGUGCGUUCUUGUACUAAUUGCAUAAACUUUAGGAAUCUAUAAUAGCUGGGGGGGGGCGGGGGGGGCUUGAGAAUUUGAGAAUCUAAAGAGAAUUAUUGAUCCGUCCACAGCGAAAGUGAAAGUCGAAUGGACUUUGUAAGUGUUUUAAGAAGCUGCACCCGUGUUUGAAAUAAAUAUUUCACAGGUC
Molecule: long non-coding RNA, 893 nt
Organism: Gasterosteus aculeatus aculeatus (three-spined stickleback)
Lineage: Eukaryota; Metazoa; Chordata; Actinopteri; Perciformes; Gasterosteidae
Source: RefSeq, a predicted model, not a curated record